CAACCCUCGGUUCCGACCGGUUUUGAGCUGGCGUCUCGGUCCCCCUCGCGGGGUCCGCGCCGGCUUUAAAGUUGUAGCUCUGCUGGCUGCCCCGCCCGACAGGAACAUAGUAAAUUCUGCUUGUUCGAGUUGGAGGCGGAAGCGGUACGGCCUGAACAAAACCUACCCAUCUCAAG
This 176-nucleotide unclassified non-coding RNA is filed under the name uncultured Dactylellina. Its description in RNAcentral is "sequence contains ITS2". The record is from RNAcentral. Lineage: Eukaryota; Fungi; Ascomycota; Orbiliomycetes; Orbiliales; Orbiliaceae.